GAUGAACGCUGGCGGCGUGCCUAAUACAUGCAAGUCGAACGAGGCGCUUUUUGUAGCAAUACGAGGAGCGUCCUAGUGGCGAACGGGUGAGUAACGCGUGGGUGACCUGCCCCAAAGUGUGGGAUAACAGUCCGAAAGGAUUGCUAAUACCGCAUGUGGUCGCUGAGUUUAGAAGUUAGCGACUAAAGCAGCAAUGCGCUUUGGGAGGGACCUGCGUCCCAUCAGCUAGUUGGUAAGGUAACGGCUUACCAAGGCGACGACGGGUAGGGGACCUGAGAGGGUGGCCCCCCACAAUGGAACUGAAACACGGUCCAUACACCUACGGGUGGCAGCAGUAGGGAAUAUUGCACAAUGGGCGAAAGCCUGAUGCAGCAACGCCGCGUGCGCGAAGAAGGUCUUCGGAUCGUAAAGCGCUUUUCUGGGAGAUGAGAAAGGACAGUAUCCCAGGAAUAAGUCUCGGCUAACUACGUGCCAGCAGCCGCGGUAACACGUAGGAGGCGAGCGUUAUCCGGAUUCACUGGGCGUAAAGCGCGUGCAGGCGGUUCGGUAAGUUGGGCGUGAAAUCUCCCGGCUCAACUGGGAGAGGUCGUUCAAUACUACCGGACUUGAGAGCGAUAGAGGAAAAUGGAAUUCCCGGUGUAGUGGUGAAAUGCGUAGAUAUCGGGAGGAACACCAGUGGCGAAAGCGAUUUUCUGGAUCGUUUCUGACGCUCAGACGCGAAAGCUAGGGUAGCAAACGGGAUUAGAGACCCCGGUAGUCCUAGCCGUAAACGAUGUGAACUUGGCGUCGGUGGCUUAAACUCCAUCGGUGCCGAAGCCAACGCGAUAAGUUCACCGCCUGGGGACUACGACCGCAAGGUUA
This 861-nucleotide ribosomal RNA is filed under the name uncultured bacterium. RNAcentral's name for it is "bacterial SSU rRNA". It matches the Rfam family "Bacterial small subunit ribosomal RNA", at positions 28 to 896 of the family's 1533-position model. The record is from RNAcentral.